This 142-nucleotide non-coding RNA is filed under the name Polytomella parva. Lineage: Eukaryota; Viridiplantae; Chlorophyta; Chlorophyceae; Chlamydomonadales; Chlamydomonadaceae. The record is from RNAcentral.
UAUUAAAGAAAAAAAAUUAUGAAAUAAGCAAAAAAUCGAACAUGGAAACUAACUAUCCUCUCUCGUACAGGUUUUAUUAUUCUUUUGUAUCCUUCUUUUCACCUUUCCUCCUUUAUUAUCUUUCCUUUUCCCCUCUCCUUCC